Molecule: ribosomal RNA, 253 nt
Filed under: uncultured bacterium
Lineage: Bacteria
Description: partial 16S ribosomal RNA
Rfam family: Bacterial small subunit ribosomal RNA
Source: RNAcentral
UACAGAGGGGGCAAGCGUUGUUCGGAAUCACUGGGCUUAAAGCGUGUGUAGGCGGGCCCGUAAGUGUCUUGUGAAAUCCCCCGGCUCAACCGGGGAACGGCUGGGCAUACUGCGGGUCUUGGGCCGACUAGGGGCAGCCGGAACAAGCGGUGGAGCGGUGAAAUGCGUAGAUAUCGCUUGGAACGCCGAAGGUGAAAACAGGCUGCUGGGGUCGCGCCGACGCUGAGACACGAAAGCCAGGGGAGCAAACGGG